Molecule: small RNA, 19 nt
Filed under: Arabidopsis thaliana (thale cress)
Lineage: Eukaryota; Viridiplantae; Streptophyta; Magnoliopsida; Brassicales; Brassicaceae
Description: ATSL069220
Source: RNAcentral
AAAAAAAAGACAAAAAAAA